RNAcentral lists this ribosomal RNA (455 nucleotides) under Gordonia alkanivorans. RNAcentral's name for it is "bacterial SSU rRNA". It matches the Rfam family "Bacterial small subunit ribosomal RNA", at positions 21 to 489 of the family's 1533-position model. Lineage: Bacteria; Bacillati; Actinomycetota; Actinomycetes; Mycobacteriales; Gordoniaceae. The record is from RNAcentral.
GGCUCAGGACGAACGCUGGCGGCGUGCUUAACACAUGCAAGUCGAACGGAAAGGCCCAGCUUGCUGGGUACUCGAGUGGCGAACGGGUGAGUAACACGUGGGUGAUCUGCCCUGAACUUUGGGAUAAGCCUGGGAAACUGGGUCUAAUACCGGAUAUGACCUUGGAGUGCAUGCUCUGGGGUGGAAAGCUUUUGCGGUUCAGGAUGGGCCCGCGGCCUAUCAGCUUGUUGGUGGGGUAAUGGCCUACCAAGGCGACGACGGGUAGCCGACCUGAGAGGGUGAUCGGCCACACUGGGACUGAGACACGGCCCAGACUCCUACGGGAGGCAGCAGUGGGGAAUAUUGCACAAUGGGCGCAAGCCUGAUGCAGCGACGCCGCGUGAGGGAUGACGGCCUUCGGGUUGUAAACCUCUUUCACCAGGGACGAAGCGCAAGUGACGGUACCUGGAGAAGAA